This 305-nucleotide ribosomal RNA is filed under the name uncultured bacterium. Its description in RNAcentral is "bacterial SSU rRNA". It matches the Rfam family "Bacterial small subunit ribosomal RNA", at positions 337 to 659 of the family's 1533-position model. The record is from RNAcentral.
GCCUACGGGGCGCAGCAGUGGGGGAUAUUGCACAAUGGGGGGAACCCUUAUGCAGCGACGCCGCGUGGGUGAAGAAGCGCCUCGGCGCGUAAAGCCCUGUCAGCAGGGAAGAAAAUGACGGUACCUGAAGAAGAAGCCCCGGCUAACUACGUGCCAGCAGCCGCGGUAAUACGUAGGGGGCAAGCGUUAUCCGGAUUUACUGGGUGUAAAGGGGGCGCAGACGGCGAUGCAAGCCAGGAGUGAGAGGCAGGGGCCCAACCCCUGGACUGCUCUGGAAACUGUAGUGCUGGAGUGCAGGAGAGGUG